GGUGCAUCUGGCAUGGCCAGGCAGCACGCCCCUUUGCAGCAGGGGCGGGGCAUUUUGCAGGCGAAGUUUGGGGGCUUCAAUACAUUC
RNAcentral lists this transfer RNA (87 nucleotides) under Pseudomonas savastanoi pv. phaseolicola. Its description in RNAcentral is "tRNA-Cys". The record is from RNAcentral. Lineage: Bacteria; Pseudomonadati; Pseudomonadota; Gammaproteobacteria; Pseudomonadales; Pseudomonadaceae.